GGUGUGAUUUGUGAGUUUGUGUGUGGUUUGAGAAGGAAAGUUGCGGGUAUUUAUAGAAAAGCAGGGCUCGCUAAUUCCUCUUAAAAGGUUGACUCGUAAAUUCCACGUAAGCUUAAUCGUCGUAAAAAACUCGUAAAGCUAAACGCGGGCCUUUGUAUUUCCUUGCUACUUCCUCGUACAAUAAAACACAGGCCUUUAUAAUUCCUCGUAACUUUACGAGGAAAUAACGAGGAUAAGUAAUCUUAUAUAUACUCCCGUGCGCUCACUCUUUCUUUCCUCUCCACUUACUCUCUAUUUCGUAGCAAUGGUAAGUCUCUCUAAUUUCUCUCUAAUUUGAUUAGUUUAUGAUAGAUUAGGUGGUUAGUAUAGGGAAUUUAGAUAUGUUUACGGUUUUUAUGUUAAUUAGUGUUGACCAGGUGGAUAAUGUAGGGAAUUAUACUGUUGAUAUUAAUUUUAAAAAUUAAUUUUUUUUUCCAGGUUCGAAAGAGCAGACUUACUGCCCAUUACAGAGAGAUGUUCGGUGAGCCGGGUAGUCAUUUAGACCUGUCUUCUUCAGCUCCCGGUUCUUCGGGUCAGGAGACUGUCCCCGAGACUCAGUCUUCUCAGAGAGUCUCUCGGUCUCCUUCUUCUAGUGCACCAUCGG
This 643-nucleotide long non-coding RNA is filed under the name Brassica napus (rape). Its description in RNAcentral is "long non-coding RNA (BNAP_LNC015328)". The record is from RNAcentral. Lineage: Eukaryota; Viridiplantae; Streptophyta; Magnoliopsida; Brassicales; Brassicaceae.